Long non-coding RNA from Helianthus annuus (common sunflower), 536 nucleotides. RefSeq lists it as uncharacterized. The record is from RefSeq and is a predicted model, not a curated record. Lineage: Eukaryota; Viridiplantae; Streptophyta; Magnoliopsida; Asterales; Asteraceae. The transcript is spliced from 2 exons.
AGAAAUGAUGACUCAAACAAGGAAUUACCUAGUUAAACAAAAAUGUUUGAAGGUGCACCUACAAGGACCAAGGGGUGGGCAUACGAUGACACUGCGAUGAAAAUUGAACAAUUGAAGAACUUCAAAUCUCUAGGAGAUUGAAGUGCUUUGGUCGAUCAUUUUACGGACGUCUACCUUUGACUUUAUGGCGGACGUAUUCCUAAAAUAAUGAUGAAAAAUGGGAUGGUGGCGUAGAAUCAUACAUAAUUUCGAGUGCGUUUAUGGAAUCAUUCAACGCGAGUCUUCAAGUUGAAAGAACACAACAAUGCGAAAAGAAAUUGAAAGGGCCAUCACAUGAAAAAAAACCUAAGCUAGAAGCUAUGUAGAAAGAUUAUGACAACCAACAAGCAAACUUUGAAGUUACGAUGCGAUUAUUAUGGAAAAGCUACCUAAUGGAGUAUUAUAGGAUCUUAGAGAUGAUUAGGAGGUUUUCGUUACUUUUUAUCAUUGUACUUCACAACUUUAUUAUGAUUACAUUGUUCUUUUGAUUUUGGACA